CAGUAGCCGCGGUAAUACGUAGGGUGCAAGCGUUAAUCGGAAUUACUGGGCGUAAAGCGUGCGCAGGCGGUUUUGUAAGACAGAGGUGAAAUCCCCGGGCUCAACCUGGGAACUGCCUUUGUGACUGCAAGGCUAGAGUACGGCAGAGGGGGAUGGAAUUCCGCGUGUAGCAGUGAAAUGCGUAGAUAUGCGGAGGAACACCGAUGGCGAAGGCAAUCCCCUGGGCCUGUACUGACGCUCAUGCACGAAAGCGUGGGGAGCAAACAGGAUUAGAUACCCGAGUAGUCCCUGUCUCUUAUAC
RNAcentral lists this ribosomal RNA (301 nucleotides) under uncultured bacterium. RNAcentral describes it as "partial 16S ribosomal RNA". It matches the Rfam family "Bacterial small subunit ribosomal RNA", at positions 509 to 807 of the family's 1533-position model. The record is from RNAcentral.